This is a long non-coding RNA of Gorilla gorilla gorilla (western lowland gorilla), 591 nucleotides long. RefSeq lists it as uncharacterized. The transcript has 3 exons. The record is from RefSeq and is a predicted model, not a curated record. Lineage: Eukaryota; Metazoa; Chordata; Mammalia; Primates; Hominidae.
GGGGGCUCCACCUACGAUCGGACUACAGGGGUCACGGAUGCUCUUCCAAAGAUCCCGUUCUCUCCCCUAGACCCGGCACCACCCCCAACUCAGUUCCCGCACUUCCUCUCCUCCCGGCUCCCAGAUGAGAUGAAUUAAUAAGCUCUAGAAGCCAUAUUAGACCAUGAGACGACCAUGAGGAUGGAAGCUGCACGCUAGGAUGGUGAAGCAAAAAGAAGCGCAGCACAAGCCCAUCUGCACCCUGAAGGGACCAGAGAAGGAGCUUUUUCCUUGGAUCAAGUUAGAAGAAAUCCAAACAACAGAGAAAGGUGAGAUGAUUCUUGGAAAGAUAGGAGAGUUGGCCCACCCCAGGCUGGAGAUACAACUUAAUCACAGAACCAUUGCUAGAAAAGCCUCCACACUCAAAGGUGUCUCUGUCAGUGUGUAGGAGAAACCCUACCACAGUACCUGGGCUUCCAAGACUCAUGGGGCACCCACCAUGCCCAGCUUGAUUAAAGACAAUGGUGUUUAUUAAUUCAUCCAUUUGUUCAUCAAGGUUGCAUGACUAUUAUGUGCCAAAGAAUAAGCAGAACACUGCUCUUUAAAUGUUAA